Molecule: ribosomal RNA, 468 nt
Filed under: uncultured bacterium
Lineage: Bacteria
Description: partial 16S ribosomal RNA
Rfam family: Bacterial small subunit ribosomal RNA
Source: RNAcentral
GACGAACGCUGGCGGCGUGCUUAACACAUGCAAGUCGAACGGAAAGGCCCUGCUUUUGUGGGGUGCUCGAGUGGCGAACGGGUGAGUAACACGUGAGUAACCUGCCCUUGACUUUGGGAUAACUCCAGGAAACUGGGGCUAAUACCGGAUAGGAGCUCCUGCUGCAUGGUGGGGGUUGGAAAGUUUCGGCGGUUGGGGAUGGACUCGCGGCUUAUCAGCUUGUUGGUGGGGUAGUGGCUUACCAAGGCUUUGACGGAUAGUCGGCCUGGGAGGGUGACCGGCCACAUUGGGACUGCGAUACGGCCCAGACUCCUACGGGAGGCAGCAGUGGGGAAUAUUGCACAGUGGGCGGAAGCCUGAUGCAGCGACGCCGCGUGCGGGAUGACGGCCUUCGGGUUGUGAACCGCUUUCGCCUGUGACGAAGCGGGAGUGACGGUAAUGGGUAAAGAAGCACCGGCUAACUACGUG